This 404-nucleotide ribosomal RNA is filed under the name uncultured bacterium. RNAcentral's name for it is "bacterial SSU rRNA". It matches the Rfam family "Bacterial small subunit ribosomal RNA", at positions 355 to 776 of the family's 1533-position model. The record is from RNAcentral.
UCGGGAAUUUUGGGCAAUGGGCGAAAGCCUGACCCAGCAACGCCGCGUGAAGGAUGAAGUAUUUCGGUAUGUAAACUUCGAAAGAAUGGGAAGAAUAAAUGACGGUACCAUUUAUAAGGUCCGGCUAACUACGUGCCAGCAGCCGCGGUAAUACGUAGGGACCAAGCGUUGUUCGGAUUUACUGGGCGUAAAGGGCGCGUAGGCGGCAUAUUAAGUCAGCUGUGAAAUCUCCGAGCUUAACUCGGAACUGUCAGCUGAUACUGAUGUGCUAGAGUGCAGAAGGGGCAAUCGGAAUUCUUGGUGUAGCGGUGAAAUGCGUAGAUAUCAAGAGGAACACCUGAGGUGAAGACGGGUUGCUAGGCUGACACUGACGCUGAGGCGCGAAAGCCAGGGGAGCAAACGGG